UGCCAAUCUUGGAAAUAGUGCUUUUUUGUUUCGUUUUUGCCUUCUUGAUCUAAAAUUGCUUUCGUUUUCAGAUGGUGGCCAGCAGAGAUCUGCAACCCCAGGUCUGUGCCACUGAACAUCCAGGGCCUUAAACAUGACUUGGGGGACUUCCCUGUAUUCUUCUUUGGUUCUCAUGACUACUACUGGGUACACCAGGGCAGAGUGUUCCCUUAUGUUGAAGGAGACAAAAGCUUUGCUGAGGGGCAGACUAGUAUUAACAAGACCUUCAAAAAGGCACUGGAAGAAGCUGCAAAACGUUUCCAGGAAUUGAAAGCACAAAGAGAAAGUAAAGAAGCCCUAGAGAUUGAAAAAAACUCAAG
RNAcentral lists this small RNA (359 nucleotides) under Pongo abelii (Sumatran orangutan). RNAcentral describes it as "retained intron". The record is from RNAcentral. Lineage: Eukaryota; Metazoa; Chordata; Mammalia; Primates; Hominidae.